UAGAGUUUGAUCCUGGCUCAGAACGAACGCUGGCGGCAGGCUUAACACAUGCAAGUCGAGCGCCCCGCAAGGGGAGCGGCAGACGGGUGAGUAACGCGUGGGAAUCUACCUUUUGCUACGGAAUAACUCAGGGAAACUUGUGCUAAUACCGUACGUGCCCUUCGGGGGAAAGAUUUAUCGGCAAAGGAUGAGCCCGCGUUGGAUUAGCUAGUUGGUGGGGUAAAGGCCCACCAAGGCGACGAUCCAUAGCUGGUCUGAGAGGAUGAUCAGCCACACUGGGACUGAGACACGGCCCAGACUCCUACGGGAGGCAGCAGUGGGGAAUAUUGGACAAUGGGCGCAAGCCUGAUCCAGCCAUGCCGCGUGAGUGAUGAAGGCCCUAGGGUUGUAAAGCUCUUUCACCGGUGAAGAUAAUGACGGUAACCGGAGAAGAAGCCCCGGCUAACUUCGUGCCAGCAGCCGCGGU
This 466-nucleotide ribosomal RNA is filed under the name uncultured Ochrobactrum sp. Its description in RNAcentral is "bacterial SSU rRNA". It matches the Rfam family "Bacterial small subunit ribosomal RNA", at positions 1 to 521 of the family's 1533-position model. Lineage: Bacteria; Pseudomonadati; Pseudomonadota; Alphaproteobacteria; Hyphomicrobiales; Brucellaceae. The record is from RNAcentral.